AACCCGGAAGCUAAGCCUGUCAGCGCCGAUGGUACUGCAUGCGGGAGCGUGUGGGAGAGUAGGACGCCGCCGAAC
This 75-nucleotide ribosomal RNA is filed under the name Streptomyces alkaliterrae. Lineage: Bacteria; Bacillati; Actinomycetota; Actinomycetes; Kitasatosporales; Streptomycetaceae. The record is from RNAcentral.